Molecule: ribosomal RNA, 594 nt
Filed under: uncultured Staphylococcus sp.
Lineage: Bacteria; Bacillati; Bacillota; Bacilli; Caryophanales; Staphylococcaceae
Description: bacterial SSU rRNA
Rfam family: Bacterial small subunit ribosomal RNA
Source: RNAcentral
GGACGGGUGAGUAACACGUGGAUAACCUACCUAUAAGACUGGGAUAACUUCGGGAAACCGGAGCUAAUACCGGAUAAUAUUUUGAACCGCAUGGUUCAAAAGUGAAAGACGGUCUUGCUGUCACUUAUAGAUGGAUCCGCGCUGCAUUAGCUAGUUGGUAAGGUAACGGCUUACCAAGGCAACGAUGCAUAGCCGACCUGAGAGGGUGAUCGGCCACACUGGAACUGAGACACGGUCCAGACUCCUACGGGAGGCAGCAGUAGGGAAUCUUCCGCAGUGGGCGAAAGCCUGACGGAGCAACGCCGCGUGAGUGAUGAAGGUCUUCGGAUCGUAAAACUCUGUUAUUAGGGAAGAACAUAUGUGUAAGUAACUGUGCACAUCUUGACGGUACCUAAUCAGAAAGCCACGGCUAACUACGUGCCAGCAGCCGCGGUAAUACGUAGGUGGCAAGCGUUAUCCGGAAUUAUUGGGCGUAAAGCGCGCGUAGGCGGUUUUUUAAGUCUGAUGUGAAAGCCCACGGCUCAACCGUGGAGGGUCAUUGGAAACUGGAAAACUUGAGUGCAGAAGAGGAAAGUGGAAUUCCAUGUGUAGCGG